ACGUUUUGAAUAUAUUCGUCUAGUCCUAUAUCAUGUUUUCGACCAUUUGAAAUUUUUACUUUGCAAUCCAAUUUUUCCCUACGCCUAUAAAAGGGGUCUUACACACCAAGCUUCAUCGUCCCUCGAACAUCUUCUCCCCUACUCUUCAUUCUUCCUCUAUAAGACAUUUCUCGGUCUUAACAAUUUCGGUCACUAAAAAUAUUUCAUUAAUGUUCGAGAUAUUCUUGAGUCAUCGGUGAUGCAAUAUCGCUCUGAGCUGUACAAAUUUCA
This 270-nucleotide long non-coding RNA is filed under the name Gossypium barbadense (sea-island cotton). RNAcentral's name for it is "long non-coding RNA (GBAR_LNC005302)". Lineage: Eukaryota; Viridiplantae; Streptophyta; Magnoliopsida; Malvales; Malvaceae. The record is from RNAcentral.